Molecule: small nucleolar RNA, 92 nt
Organism: Balaenoptera ricei (Rice's whale)
Lineage: Eukaryota; Metazoa; Chordata; Mammalia; Artiodactyla; Balaenopteridae
Product: small nucleolar RNA SNORD116
Exons: 1
Source: RefSeq, a predicted model, not a curated record
GGAUCCAUGAUGACUCCCAUAAUUACAUUCCUUUGAAGUCUGAAAAAAAUGAGUGAGCAAUCCCUACCGUCUCCACAUCGGGACUGAGGUCC